This 48-nucleotide small RNA is filed under the name Arabidopsis thaliana (thale cress). RNAcentral describes it as "ATSL051310". The record is from RNAcentral. Lineage: Eukaryota; Viridiplantae; Streptophyta; Magnoliopsida; Brassicales; Brassicaceae.
CACCCUUCUGCUCACUUCUAUUCACUGUCUUGCCAUCAUCUCUCCCAA